RNAcentral lists this ribosomal RNA (309 nucleotides) under uncultured fungus. Its description in RNAcentral is "eukaryotic LSU rRNA". The stretch from base 1 to 52 matches the Rfam family "5.8S ribosomal RNA", at positions 103 to 154 of the family's 154-position model. The record is from RNAcentral. Lineage: Eukaryota; Fungi.
AACGCACCUUGCGCUCCUUGGUAUUCCGAGGAGCAUGCCUGUUUGAGUGUCAUGGAAUUCUCAACUCUAUUUGCUUUUGUGAAUAGAGCUUGGACUUGGAGGUUUAUUGCCGGUACCUGUGAUCGGCUCCUCUUGAAUGCAUUAGCUGGUCGCGACGCGGUCCUUUGCCCGGCGCGCCCGUCCUCGGUGUAGUACGCUAUUCACCUUGGUCGGCGCCGCCUUGACCUGUCUGGCUGCUUCGAACCGCCCUCGAGCAACUUAAUCUAUUGCUUUGACCUCAAAUCAGGUAGGACUACCCGCUGAACUUAA